UUCAUAUGAACACAACAAUUAUAAUUUAACGUAAAAUUGACUAAAACAAGGGGUUACCUAAUUAUGAAAAUGAUAGAUCUUUGUCUCAAUGACCAAUUCAUCAAUUACUUAGGUUGCUUUCAUCAACAAUAGAAACAUUUCCUGAAAUUUCCUGAAAUUGAAUGACAUUACGUUAUUACAUAAAUAAUCAAAGAAAACAAACUACAAAGUAUAGAAUUGUUCGAACUAAAUGUAUCACUCUUACUUGUCUUUGGUAUUUGCUCCCUUCGUGUUCUAAUGGCUUGAUAAUGCUCCAUAAUUUGACGAUCUUCAAUAUAUGCAAAUUUAUCCCUCUCGAUGUAAUUGUUCGAACUCUCUUUAUAUUGUACACUGUAAUCGUAACACUAAACACUAUGAAUUAUGAAACUUUCUAGGCACAACAUAUUUUUUUCGGUGUCAAACAUCAACAACAAACCUGCUUGCUACGCCGCUGCGUUGCUCUGCUUGCUUGCUGUGUUGCUCUGCUUGCGGCGCUGCUCCUGCUUGUUGCGCUUGCUCUGCUUGCUUGCUGUGUUGCUCUGCUUGCGGCGCUGCUCCUGCUUGUUGCGCUUGCUCUGCUUGCUGCGCUGCCUGCUGCUUGCUUGCCCGGCCGGCCGGCCCCCUGCGCGGCUUGCCUGCUCGGCUUAUUGUUUGCUUGCUUGCUUUUGCUUUCUCGCGCAGCUUGCCUGCUUGCUGGUUGCUGCACUGCUUGCUGCGUCGGCGGCGGAAUUAGUUGGGACUGGUGCGCGACUCGCGCGAGC
This 779-nucleotide long non-coding RNA is filed under the name Zea mays. Its description in RNAcentral is "long non-coding RNA (ZMAY_LNC004718)". Lineage: Eukaryota; Viridiplantae; Streptophyta; Magnoliopsida; Poales; Poaceae. The record is from RNAcentral.